This 253-nucleotide ribosomal RNA is filed under the name uncultured bacterium. Its description in RNAcentral is "partial 16S ribosomal RNA". It matches the Rfam family "Bacterial small subunit ribosomal RNA", at positions 524 to 776 of the family's 1533-position model. The record is from RNAcentral.
UACGUAGGUGGCAAGCGUUGUCCGGAUUUACUGGGCGUAAAGAGCGCGCAGGCGGUCGUUCAAGUCGCGUGUGAAAGCCCCCGGCUCAACUGGGGAGGGUCACGCGAUACUGAUCGACUCGAAGGCAGGAGAGGGAAGUGGAAUUCCCGGUGUAGUGGUGAAAUGCGUAGAUAUCGGGAGGAACACCAGUGGCGCAGGCGGCGCUCUGGGUCACACCUGACACUGAGAUACGAAGGCAUGGGGAGCGAACGGG